This is a non-coding RNA of Castor canadensis (American beaver), 5528 nucleotides long. Lineage: Eukaryota; Metazoa; Chordata; Mammalia; Rodentia; Castoridae. The record is from RefSeq and is a predicted model, not a curated record.
GAGAUAGGAUCUCAUGAAAUAUUUGCCUGGGGCUGACUUUGAACCAUGAUCCUCCUGAUCUCUGCUUCCGUAUGUAGCUAGGAUUAUAGAUAUGAGGCACUUGGCACCUGGCAUGUGGUUAUAAAUUUAAAGGGAGAUUAGUCAGUAUGUUUUUUACAUAUUUAUCUGCAGGUAUGUAUGUUUGGGGUGGAUUUAACUAGAGACUGGGUUUCAUCAAGAUACUAGAACAAAGCAAGAGGAGCAUUAUAUGCAAGGAGUGAUUCUGAUAUACUGUGGAAUUUGAACCAGCUAAGGAAGGAGGGAGGGGAGAAAUGAAGUGGCAGGAAAUGGGGAGAAGAUGAGUCAGUGGAUUGAAGGUCCUGCUGGAGUCAAAAGCUAUUGCGGUUUGAGUACAUGAGAGAUACUAGGUCAAAACUUUCCCAAACUUCUACUGCCAAAUCAAUCCAUUUACCUGAUGAAUGCAUUUGGGGUAUAACUUGAAGAGUAAACCAAAAGGAAAUUGGAAAUAUAUUUGAUGUAUAUUUAAUGUACUUGUUUUCAGGAAUACAUGAUGGGAUACAACACUUGAGAUUGUGAGGGCUUGGUUAUGAGCUGUGUGGGUAAAGAACAAAGUCAUUGGAAGUGAGAAAUUUAAAGAAGAGAGACGAGUUCAGAGUGACCACCUGUGUGAAAUCACUAAAUCACUUAGACUUAAGUUGAGUAGUGUUGUAGUCUCACAGUAAGCCAGAAAAUACUUUUCAUUAGGGUAUUCAAAGCAUAGGUGGCUUUGAUUUUUAAUUUUUAUUUUACUUACUUAUUUUUUUAGUGGUACUGGGGAUUGAAUUCAGGGUCUUAGCCUUGCUAAGUAAGUAUUGUAGCACUUGAGCUUUGCCCCCAGCCUCCAAAGCAUAGAUUUCUUUUUAGGGAGGAAGGAAGGAGACUGACUUGAAGAAUCUGCAAGGAGCGGAGGACACUUACUCCGUCUGCUCGUGUGAGGAGUGUGGGAAAGAUUGCUCUUACCAUUUUAGGGCUGGGGGAGAUACAGCUCUUAGAGGAGGGCAAGAAGUUGAAGGACGUGUUCAGAGAAGAUGUGGGAAAUUUAGGGCACAGUACAAGGGUUUCAAAAUUUGGGGAGAGGUGGGUGAGACGUGGGGAAAGCGUCAUAGAUACGCAGAACAGCGUGGCGUUAGAAUGUGAGAGAUGAGAGAUAGGAAGUCUGCAACUUCUUUUGAUGGACAGCAUAAAAAAGCUGAGGAGUAUGAAGAGAUUCCGGGCAGAUAGAGAAGACAGGGUCUUAUUAUGUUGCCCUGGCUGUUCUCAAAUUACUGGCCUCCAGGGAUCUUCUCAUCUAAGACGAAUCUCCUGGAAAAAAGAGACAUGACUAUCUGCAAUGAUACUUCCUGACAAGAAGUUGAUACAAGAAAAGAAAAGGAAAUUAAAAUCUAAUGAGCAGAAUUUUGAACAAGCAAGAUUUUGUAUUUAUUGCUUCCAACUACAAACUCCUGUUGCCUACUUUUAAAUUAGCAGUACUCUCAGAACCCAGACAAAGCAAAAAGAUAUUUUUCUUCUGUAAUUUUUUGUGAACAAAGAAACUGCAAUGUCUAGGAAACAAAGCCAGAAGGAUUCAUCAGGAUUCAUUUUUGAUUUGCAGUCAAAUACUGUACUGGCCCAGGGAGGAACUUUUGAAAACAUGAAAGAGAAGAUAAAUGCAGUACGUGCAAUAGUUCCUAAUAAGAGCAACAAUGAAAUCAUCCUGGUUUUGCAGCACUUUGAUAAUUGUGUGGACAAAACAGUACAAGCAUUCAUGGAAGGUAGUGCCAAUGAAGUGCUCAAAGAAUGGACAGUAACAGGCAAGAAAAAGAACAAAAAGAAGAAAAGCAAACCAAAACCUGCAGCAGAAGCAAGUAACUGUAUCCCAGACUCUAGUAAAUCAGUUUCCACUCAAGAGGAGCAGUCUGCACCUCCCUCAGAGAAAGGUGGCGUUAAUGGUUACCAUGUUAACGGUGCCAUCAACGAUGCCGAGUCUGUGGACUCACUCAGUGAAGGUUUGGAGAUACUUUCAAUAGAUGCCAGAGAAUUAGAAGAUCCUGAGUCUGCCAUGCCAGAUAGAUUGGACAGAACAGGAUCCACGCUGGAGAAUGGUGUCCCAGAAUCUGUACCCAAGUCUUUGACUAUGCGCUCUAUUCAGAAUGCUCAACAAUCCAGGAAUGCUGCUAGAUCUCUCUCAAGACACACCACAGGAUCUCAGUUUUCAAAUCUGGGGGUGGAGGAUAUUCCACCUUCCUCUACCAGUAAAAGACUAGGUUCCAAUAUUGAAAAGUCAGUAAAAGACCUCCAGCGCUGUACGGUGUCUCUUGCACGAUAUCGAGUUGUAGUUAAAGAAGAGAUGGAUGCUUCCAUUAAGAAAAUGAAACAAGCCUUUGCUGAAUUGCAGAGCUGGUAUUCCAAAUGCUGCUAGAGUUCUUGGAGCAAACUAUUGCCAAGUUUAAUGGAUCGAGAAGUAGCAUUGCUUGCUGAAAUGGACAAAGUGAAAGCUGAAGCCAUGGAAAUUUUACUCAGCCGGCAAAAGAAAGCAGAACUUCUAAAGAAGAUGACUGAUGUGGCUGUCCGAAUGUCAGAGGAGCAAUUGGUUGAACUCAGAGCUGAUAUCAAGCACUUUGUUAGUGAACGGAAAUAUGAUGAGGAUCUAGGACGGGUAGCCCGAUUCACCUGUGAUGUAGAGACUCUGAAGAAGAGCAUUGAUUCAUUUGGACAAGUGUCCCAUCCAAAGAACAGCUAUUCAACCAGAUCCCGGUGUAGCUCAAUUAUAUCUGCAUCUUUGAGUGGCCAAAGUGACUCCUCUGCUGCUCCCUCUUCCUCCUGUGCCUCUUCUCCCAGCCUUAUAGGUGCUAAUAAGAGAAACUCUGCUCCAGGAGAGACUCCUGCAACCACAACAAACUCUAACAGCCGGCCUUACCAGCUUCAUCGGGAGAUAUUGCCGGGGAACAGACGAGGAGGACAAGGCUAUCGGCCACAAGGCCAAAAGUCCAAUAACCCCAUGAACCAAGGACGACAAGACAGUGUGGGUCGUUGCAAAAAUGGCUCAUGGUAUUCAUCUGGUUCCCGGUAUCAAAGUACUCCAUCCCAGACACCAGGAAAUAGUAGUGAUUGGAGCCACGCUCCCUCUACAGGGACCAAUGGAGCUGGAGCCAGCAUGGAACCUAGCCUACCCAAGCCCUCACUCAAAAAGGGGCUUCCCCAGCGCAAACCCAGGACCUCUCAGCCUGAAGCUGUGAACUCUUGAGAGAAAUUCCAGUUGACUUCUCUCUUCUAUCCCACACAAUUCAACCUGACAACUGGACUUUAGGAAACAUAUACUUAGAGUUAAUAACAAAAAGAAGUUUAUGCAUAUCACUUUUUUGUGCCAUUCUAAAUAUUUUUGGUUUCUUCUCUCCUUAUUUCCUCUUUAUCAUUUUUGGAAGGGAAACUGUUUUUUUUCCUUGACAUUUGUCAAUAAUACGGACUGAUUCUGAUUGGUCGUUUUUACCAGAAAUCGGGCAGCUAUUGCCAGGCUUCCCAAGGGUUAUCAGCAUUCUUCCUAGUGCAUCUGGUCUUCCAACUGCCCAAAGAGGCCUUACUCAGCAAGCCCCCACUGUCAAAGCUGUCUUAAAGGAAGUUGGUCAGAGCUAGUCUUGUUACCUUUUCAGUCUAAGCAGAAACUUGCCAGGUCCCCAAACUGUCAAAUGACAGUUUGACCAGAAGCAGCAAUGAGGGGAUUUUAUACUGUACUGGAUUAGCCAGAAAAGGAGAAUAAAUGUUAAUUGAUAAAAAGGAGAAACCAUUAGGAAAAAUUUGAGAAUCUGCCUCUAUCUCAGAAUAUGCCUGAGAUUUGACCUUUAAAUCAGGGUUUCAUUCCCCUGCUUGGCAUCAUAGCUUUCCCUGCAGCUUCUUCAAAAUGCCCAAAGCCUUGUUUCUUGUUACCUUAGGCUAUACUUUAGGGCUGCAAAGUAGUCUAAGGAAGUGUUUGGGAAAGUCACAUUUAAUUAAAGUUUUUAAAAAGUUAAUAAAGUAUUGCAUUGUUUCAAUGUUUGGAGAUUUUUGUUGUUGUUCUCCUUUCUCCUGUUCUGAUCUUGAACCAAAUUUAUAGCAAUAUAAUUAAUGUUAAUCUGAGGUGUAACCCACCAAAAAAUUGCUGCAGUAAUUCUUUAUAGAUAAUAAAGGCAACUGCGUAAAUGUUCCCACAUUUGUUUCACAGCACAAGUGACUUCAUUAUCUGUUUCUCUUUGGGCCUCAUGGGGUCACUCAGACAGCUUGUUCUGUGCUUAAAUGCGGGUGUCUGAUUCCCAAGUCAUUUGUCUGCUGCUGCUUUGCUUCAGGACCAAAUUAAAAUGUGAAAGCCACAAUGAGCAAAUGCAGCUGUUCCUUGUGGGAAACGAUCCAUAGGAUAGGGAAUGGUGAUUUUCAAAGGAGGACUUACCAGUUUAGAAAAACCACAGCUGCCAGCCAUUCUCCCAGGCAACCAAAGGUUAUAUUGGCACCCCUCUUCCCCAUUCCCUGUCCCUUGACAGAAGUAGUGAAUGUAACCAUAUAAUUGAGCUCCUGCAUGUAGCAGGUGGCACUAGUGCCAGACACCUCCUCCCCACCCCACUCCCAGCAUGUAUGGUUUAAUAACAGCGGUACUUUUCCUUCCUCCAGCAUGUGCUCUCUCUCCCAAGGCUUGACUGCAAGUGGCAGCGGUGCAGAACGCAGUUGCCUCAGGGCUUUCCCUGGCUCUUUGGCUGAAGCUGAACUGCCAGGGUUCAGGUUGGUUGAACAGACUGUGUGAGAGAAACAGUAGUACUAGGGAGGCCAUUUUCCAAAGGGCUGAACACCUCAUUUUGGGGAAUUUGUCCAACAACACCAUCAGCCUGCUAGGUGUCAGGAAAAAGCUUUCCUGAUUAAUUGCUUACCUCUACUUUAUAGGAAAUCCAGAGACUUAGGCAACCUUGAAGGAUUUAAGAGGUAUAUCCCUGUAUCAAGCCAAACUGUAUUUAACCACCCAGACAGAUGGAAAGCCACGUUUGCCAAAAAUGCUUUGAAGCCAAGCACGGGUGGUUCAUGCCUAUAAUCCUGGCUACCUGGAAGGCAGCUGUGUUCACUGCUAUUCCACCAAUGCAUCCUGGCUUCUUGGGAGGUGGAGAUCAGGAGGGUGGAGGUUUGAGGCCAACCCAGGCAAAUAGUUUGUAAGACCUCAUCUCAGCCAAUAAAAAAAUGUGGGCACAGUGGCAAAUGCCUGUCCCUGUCAUCAAGCAACUUGGGAAACAUAAGUAGGAGGAUUACAGUUCAGGUUGGUCUGGGCAGUAAAUGCCAAGACCCUAUUCAAAAAGUAAAAUGGAGGGCUGGGAGCAUGACUCAAGUGGUAGAGUGCCUGCCUAGCAAGCAUGAAGGUCUGAGUUCAAACCCCAGUAAUGCCAGAAAAUAUUCAUCAUAAAAUCUCAUCAUAGGAAAAUAUACUUGGAGAGUUUUUACGACCAUAAUGACUUUUAUCAAUUAUGAAGGUUCCCCCCGACACACUAUUUUUUUUAAAUUAC